Molecule: long non-coding RNA, 845 nt
Organism: Chinchilla lanigera (long-tailed chinchilla)
Lineage: Eukaryota; Metazoa; Chordata; Mammalia; Rodentia; Chinchillidae
Exons: 5
Source: RefSeq, a predicted model, not a curated record
ACUCUACAGGGAAGGGUGAUUGAAGAAGUCACCCAAAGUAAUUCUGUCUCCUGACUCAUGAGAGCUAAAGACUCAAGUGCCAGCCUCUGUGGAUUUAACCACACCUUCAUUUGAUGAACAUUUGGUCAAGGAGAAAAGGGAUAAUGUUACAUUGCUGGGGCGAGGGUGACUCAGAGGAUAUGCUAUGCCUCCACAGACCCAAAGGAAGAGGACCAAGUGAUCAUAGACUGAAACUUCUUAAGCCAGGAGUGAGAAAAUAAAAUCUUCCUAACCUGAUUUCUCAGCUAUUUUGUCCCAGUGAUGUAAAGUACUGGGGAUUGAAUUCAGGGAUUCUCACUUGCUAGGCAAGUUCCCUGUCACUAGGCUGAAUCCCGUCCCCACACUUGCUUUGAAGUAAUCAAAAGCUGUUGGAGAAAUACUUUUUCUUAAAAUAAUGUGAAUAAAAAGCCAUAUGUGGUGAUACACGCCUGCAAUCCCAGAACUCCAGAAGCUAAAGAAAGAGGAUCAGGAGUUUGAAACCAACCUGCUUUCCAUGAGUACUCGUUACAAAUGCAGAGUAAAAAUCCCUAUGUCUUCAUAAAUUGUGUGGAGCGGUGACGGAUUUCUACCUCAUAGUCAUGUGUUCUACCUCCAUCUUGUAAAAUGAAGAGAAAACUAUUUCAUUUUCCACAAAACCAUGCAGCUGCAGGGAGGAAAAAGGUCGAAGCUUCUAAGUUCCCAAGAUUUUCUUCUAUGAUUGCCUCAAGCCAAAGGUCUUCAGCAUGGAUUUGAUAGUGGUAUUGUAAAAUUAACGAUGGCUUUUUUAGAUAUUGUGUUUAAUUUUGAAACGACACUUCCUGAGGGAA